RNAcentral lists this ribosomal RNA (450 nucleotides) under uncultured bacterium. RNAcentral describes it as "partial 16S ribosomal RNA". It matches the Rfam family "Bacterial small subunit ribosomal RNA", at positions 29 to 523 of the family's 1533-position model. The record is from RNAcentral.
AGCGAACAUUGGCGGUAGGCUUAACACAUGCAAGUCGAGCGAGGCGUAAUAGUCGAGCGGCGAACGGGUGCGUAAUACAUGGGAAUCUACCAUGAAGUGGGGGAUAACGUCCAGAAGGGGACGCUAAUACCGAAUAAUCCACAUUGGGAAUGCGUUGCAGCGCUUUAGGAUGAGCCCAUGGCUGAUUAGGUAGUUGGUGAGGUAAUGUCUCACCAAGGCGACGAUCAGUAGCUGGCCUGAGAGGAUGAUCAGCCACACCGGAACUGAGACACGGUGCAGACUCCUACGGGAGGCAGCAGUGGGGAAUCUUGCGCAAUGGGGGCAACCCUGACGCAGUCAUACCGCGUGAGUGAUGAAGGCCUUCGGAUUGGAAAGCACUUUCGUCUGGGUCGACGAUGACGGUACCCGCAAAAGAAGUCACGGCUAACUUCGUGCCAGCAGCCGCAGUAA